This is a non-coding RNA of Bubalus bubalis (water buffalo), 899 nucleotides long. The record is from the annotation of a RefSeq genome assembly. Lineage: Eukaryota; Metazoa; Chordata; Mammalia; Artiodactyla; Bovidae.
AUGGGCUCCAGGCUCCUCUGCUGUGUGAAUCUCUGCCUCCUGGGAGCAGGCCUGGUGGAUUCCGAAGUCACCCAGACCCCAAAAUUCCUGACCAAAUCAAGAAAACAGCAAGUGACACUGAGAUGUUCCCCUGAAUCUGGACACAGCUCUGUGUACUGGUUCGCACAAGCCCUGGGCCAGGGCCCCCAGUUCCUCGUUCAGUAUUUUGAUGGAGAAGUGUAUCAAAGAGGAAACAUGUCAGAUCGAUUCUCAGGUCAACAGUUAGGUGACUCUCGCUCGGAGUUGAACUUGACCCCCUUGGAGCUGAUGGACUCCGCUCUGUAUCUCUGUGCCAGCAGCCCAGACACAGCUUUGCAUGAUCAGGUGCCUCUGGAACAAAAACUCUCCUGCCCCAGCUCAGGAAGUGGUGGUGAGCAUGUCGGUUGCCAGUGUGCCAAGCUCAGUCUCUGGAAGAGCAAUAGAUUUUCCCAGACAUUCAUUUCUUGAUAUGUUGUAAUGCUCACUAGGAUCAUGCAAAGUAAGUAUUAUUUUAACUGUUUAUAUAUCUGAGGGGAUGUGAAUUGCCCAGAUCUCAUACCUCAUGACUGUUACAGCUAGGAUUGCAGCUCAAGUUUCUUUUCAACACCUGUGGUCCCUUUCCUCAUGGAACCAUCUCCAUACAGAGCAAGUUACAUAUACGCGUUGUGUUAUGUGUAACAACAUACAGUUUGGGGCUCUGUGAUAUGAACUGUUACUCAAUGAAUGGCAGCCACGCAUCACAAGGAGGUAUUCCCAUGAAAAGAAUGUCUCAAAUAAAAAAGAGUGUUUUUCACUUACCCUGGUGUGUGCCAUGACUCACCAUGGUGCUCCUAAGUCUGCAUUACUUUCUGCCAAUCCAUCGUCCUGUGCUGGGCAACCAG